CAUAUGGUCGACCUGCAGGCGGCCGCGAAUUCACUAGUGAUUAGAGUUUGAUCAGGGCUCAGAUUGAACGCUAAUCGCAGUCCUAACACAGCCAAGUCGAGCGGGAGCUUGCGACUCGGGAAUUCGGCGGACAGUGAGUAGCCUAGGAAUCUGCCUGGUAGUGGGGGAUAACGUUCGGAAACGGACGCUAAUACCGCAUACGUCCUACGGGAGAAAGCAGGGGACCUUCGGGCCUUGCGCUAUCAGAUGAGCCUAGGUCGGAUUAGCUAGUUGGUGGGGUAAUGGCUCACCAAGGCGACGAUCCGUAACUGGUCUGAGAGGAUGAUCAGUCACACUGGAACUGAGACACGGUCCAGACUCCUACGGGAGGCAGCAGUGGGGAAUAUUGGACAAUGGGCGAAAGCCUGAUCCAGCCAUGCCUUUGACGUUACCGAUAGAAUACGCACGCUAUGCAUCCA
This 458-nucleotide ribosomal RNA is filed under the name uncultured Gammaproteobacteria bacterium. Its description in RNAcentral is "bacterial SSU rRNA". It matches the Rfam family "Bacterial small subunit ribosomal RNA", at positions 1 to 443 of the family's 1533-position model. The record is from RNAcentral. Lineage: Bacteria; Pseudomonadati; Pseudomonadota; Gammaproteobacteria.